CGAGUUAGUUCUUACUUCCUUUUAUUAGAGGUCUUUGUUCUUAUUUUAUCACGCCUUAUUUGAUUCAUGUUUAUUUUCUUGUCAUUGUUGCUGCGCGCGUGAAAAACAAUAUUUCUUUUUAGCUCAGAAAAUCGAGUCAACGUCGAUGUUUGAAAUUGUUUUUAGUUCAGUGUGCGGCCUACUUUCAAACUGCCAUGUUCUUUAUUUUCAUCUCUCAAUAUAAUUUUAUCAUAUUUUAUCUAUUUGUCUCGGCCGCCACAUUGGUGACCCCGACGUGAUCUGAAUUUAACUUUUAAACAGUAAAUUAUUGCUCUUCAAGAUUGUAUAUAUACCUGCACAUUCAAAGAAGACUUUAAAAGAAGAACGAGGAAGAAACAGAUCAAGUAAUCGAAAACGAAAACGAGAUGCAUCUGCCAUCUACUACGUUACUCACACAAGAAAGACAACCGACCAGACGAUCACCUGAAGAAUCGCCGGUGGUUUCGGGCCGCGCCGCACCCAUGCCGCGCCGCCUCCCUCCGCACCGACUGAUACCAGCGCACCGACCUCAAGCUCGCUUCUCCCAAGAGCGGCUCCGCUGACUUGUGGCCUAACCAAGGUGGAUCCAGGCCGCGCUGAGCCACGCCGCCUGCUCCACCGCGGUGCUUCUUAUCUUCGUACCUACCUACCUACAUACCCAAGCGUUCGUCAACGACAUGAACCUAUACGUCGCCGCGAACGCAGAACGCAAGUCAGCGAGUCGCAAGCCGCCGUCGCCGGAGUUUCCGGGAUGCGCCGUUUCAUCGCCGCUCCCGUCCGACGCGGCACGCGCUGUGUCGCCAGUCACCAAGAGCCGGUCUACGCCUAUUCUGUCUGAGAACUUGUGAUCGAUUUUUUUAGCAAGAUAAUUUACUAUACCUACUUACUAGCUCCGCUCUAGGGCGGGGAGUGUUGUGGCGAGUUAGUUCUUACUUCCUUUUAUUAGAGGUCUUUGUUCUUAUUUUAUCACGCCUUAUUUGAUUCAUGUUUAUUUUCUUGUCAUUGUUGCUGCGCGCGUGAAAAACAAUAUUUCUUUUUAGCUCAGAAAACCGAGUCAACGUCGAUGCUAGAAAUUGUUUUAGUUCAGAGUGUGCGGCCUACUUUCAAACUGUCAUGUUCUUUAUUUUCGUCUCUCAAUAUAAUUUUAUCAUAUUUUUAUCGA
Molecule: long non-coding RNA, 1180 nt
Organism: Amphibalanus amphitrite
Lineage: Eukaryota; Metazoa; Arthropoda; Thecostraca; Balanomorpha; Balanidae
Exons: 2
Source: RefSeq, a predicted model, not a curated record